CCUACGGGAGGCAGCAGUAGGGAAUCUUCCUCAAUGGACCAAAGUCUGACGGAGCAACGCCGCGUGAGUGAAGAAGGCCUUCGGGUCGUAAAGCUCUGUUGCCGGGGAAGAACGAGUGGCGUUCGAACAGGGGGGCGCCUUGACUGGUACCCGGCCAGCAAGGCCACGUAUAACUACGUGCCAGCGAGCCGCGGUAAU
This 198-nucleotide ribosomal RNA is filed under the name uncultured bacterium. RNAcentral's name for it is "partial 16S ribosomal RNA". It matches the Rfam family "Bacterial small subunit ribosomal RNA", at positions 338 to 524 of the family's 1533-position model. The record is from RNAcentral.